This 354-nucleotide unclassified non-coding RNA is filed under the name Hevea brasiliensis (rubber tree). The record is from RNAcentral. Lineage: Eukaryota; Viridiplantae; Streptophyta; Magnoliopsida; Malpighiales; Euphorbiaceae.
CUGAACAUUUUUAUCACCAACAACAUGGAGAGAGCUCCAGACAAGAUGUAAGCAAAUUCCACAUCCGCAAAACACGAGAGAAUCAGUGACGCGUUUUAAAAUAUCACUAGUGCAGAUUUAUAAGUUGGCGAUUUGUAAGCCAUUAAAUUUGUAGCAUUAGAACGGACAAUAUCACUGUUAGGCCGGACCAACCAUCUUCUUGGGUCUCCAUCAACCUCACUAUGGCACACCUUAAAGGCACAAUCUUUGCAGAUGAACAAUGAGAAUUAGUACAAUAAUGGUGUUGGAAAGUUAAAUUGUUAAAUUGGUUUUUGGAGGCGGGGAUGGAAUGGAAGUAGCCUUUCGAGUUUGGUU